UACGGGGGGAGCAAGCGUUGUUCGGAUUUACUGGGCGUAAAGAGCGCGCAGGCGGUCGUUCAAGUCGAGUGUGAAAGCCCCCGGCUCAACUGGGGAGGGUCAUUCGAUACUGAUCGACUCGAAGGCAGGAGAGGGAAGUGGAAUUCCCGGUGUAGUGGUGAAAUGCGUAGAUAUCGGGAGGAACACCAGUGGCGAAGGCGACUUCCUGGCCUGUUCUUGACGCUGAGGCGCGAAAGCUAGGGGAGCAAACGGG
RNAcentral lists this ribosomal RNA (253 nucleotides) under uncultured bacterium. RNAcentral describes it as "partial 16S ribosomal RNA". It matches the Rfam family "Bacterial small subunit ribosomal RNA", at positions 524 to 776 of the family's 1533-position model. The record is from RNAcentral.